GACGAACGCUGGCGGCGUGGAUUAGGCAUGCAAGUCGAACGGUAUCAUCCUUUCGGGGGUGAGAGAGUGGCGAACUGGUGAGUAACACGUAGGUUAUCUACCCUCAAGACGGGGACAACCCAGGGAAACUUGGGCUAAUACCGGAUGUGAGCAACUUUUAGUUGUUUGAAAGGUGGCGUAAGCUGUCGCUUGGGGAUGAGCCUGCGUCCUAUUAGUUAGUUGGUGAGGUAACGGCUCACCUAGGCAAUGAUAGGUAGGCGGCCUUAACGGGUGGUCGCCCACACUGGGAUUGAGAUACGGCCCAGACUCCUACGGGAGGCAGCAGUCGAGAAUAGUCUACAAUGGUCGGAAGACUGAUAGUGCGACGCCGCGUGAACGAUGAAUCCCUUCGGGGUGUAAAGUUCUUUUAUAUGUGAGCAGUGCUUCUUAUAUUAACAGUAUGGGGAGAGAGAUAUUAGCAUAUGAAUAAGCAACGGCUAACUCCGUGCCAGCAGCCCGCGGU
RNAcentral lists this ribosomal RNA (502 nucleotides) under uncultured bacterium. Its description in RNAcentral is "bacterial SSU rRNA". It matches the Rfam family "Bacterial small subunit ribosomal RNA", at positions 28 to 521 of the family's 1533-position model. The record is from RNAcentral.